GUUUUCUCCUAACAUCUAUUUUGAUGGUUUUAAAAGUGAGUCAGCACAAGACCUUAAUGAGAAAUGCAGUUCCAAUGUUUCUGAAAAAAAAUCCCUGGUCCAAAGGGAUACAUGACAGGAUGCGUUGCAGUAUUCUGACUGUAUCCUUUCUUAGUGUUUGGCUUAGCUGCCUCAGGAAAUAAGUAUGCAUUUACCUCCUCAGAAGACAACUAGCAUUUUAAGGAGCACUUUAAAGAAAUGUGCUAAACAGCCCUCUUAACUCACUGUGAAAAUAUAAUGUGUGGAACUCAGCAGUUUCAACCAAAGAGUGAGUACUGUGAUGUGUUUUGCUAAGAGAAAUAUAGAGGUGAAUAAUUUGUUCAACAUUUAUAGGUUUUCCAAUUGCUACAUCUUAUAAGGAUGAAGUCCAGAGUCACACAAAGAAGUUAAGUAGAAGAUACAGGUCUUUUGAUUCCUCAUCAAAUACUAAAGGCGCCCAGUUUGAUGUUACUGAUACUGCAGCCAGCUCCUCCAGCAAAUCAGGAUACCAGCUCACUAGCGACAGUCCAACCAAGCGACCACUUGAGAAUUGAUUGGGGAUGGCUCAUAAAUGUUUCAAGAAUUCUGCUAAAUUCAGAUAAUGCAGCUAAGGAUGACAAAGUUGUAACUACUGACUCUUCAGAAUGCUAUAAGGAAUAUGGCAUUUGAUGAGGUUAGUGGUUCUAGGGCUCCGAGUUUCUCAUAGUAGCAAAAUAUAUGCACCAUAUUUGUCUGUGUGAAGAAAAAUGAAGCCUCUAAUUCCCCAUUUUGAUACGGGAGGGUAUUUUGUAUUUUUAGAAAUACCAUGAAACAUUAUAUCUGUUUUUCCUACUGCUGUAGAAAGAAAAUUUUAGUGUCAAAAUCUUGAAAAGAUGGAAUAUCAGAAUAAAUUUAGCUCUGUGGAAACAGCACUGUAAUGUCCAUUUUUCACUUUCUGCUGUGCACUAGAAGGAAAAACUUAGCCCAGCAUUCUGGUUUUAGUUCUAGAAUGUCUCACAAAAGGCUCAAGUGUUCAGAGGUGGGGUU
RNAcentral lists this long non-coding RNA (1044 nucleotides) under Fukomys damarensis (Damara mole-rat). RNAcentral describes it as "lncRNA (ENSFDAG00000022197.1)". The record is from RNAcentral. Lineage: Eukaryota; Metazoa; Chordata; Mammalia; Rodentia; Bathyergidae.